RNAcentral lists this ribosomal RNA (253 nucleotides) under uncultured bacterium. Its description in RNAcentral is "partial 16S ribosomal RNA". It matches the Rfam family "Bacterial small subunit ribosomal RNA", at positions 524 to 776 of the family's 1533-position model. The record is from RNAcentral.
UACGUAGGGUGCGAGCGUUGUCCGGAAUUAUUGGGCGUAAAGAGCUUGUAGGCGGUCUGUCGCGUCUGCUGUGAAAAUCCGGGGCUCAACCCCGGACUUGCAGUGGGUACGGGCAGACUAGAGUGUGGUAGGGGAGACUGGAAUUCCUGGUGUAGCGGUGAAAUGCGCAGAUAUCAGGAGGAACACCGGUGGCGAAGGCGGGUCUCUGGGACGGUACUGACGCUGAGACGCGAAAGCGUGGGGAGCAAACAGG